GUCGAACGCUGGCGGCGUGCUUAACACAUGCAAGUCGAACGGAAAGGCCCUGCUUUUGUGGGGUGCUCGAGUGGCGAACGGGUGAGUAACACGUGAGUAACCUGCCCUUGACUUUGGGAUAACUUCAGGAAACUGGGGCUAAUACCGGAUAGGAGCUCCUGCUGCAUGGUGGGGGUUGGAAAGUUUCGGCGGUUGGGGAUGGACUCGCGGCUUAUCAGCUUGUUGGUGGGGUAGUGGCUUACCAAGGCUUUGACGGGUAGCCGGCCUGAGAGGGUGACCGGCCACAUUGGGACUGAGAUACGGCCCAGACUGCUACGGGAGGCAGCAGUGGGGAAUAUUGCACAAUGGGCGGAAGCCUGAUGCAGCAACGCCGCGUGCGGGAUGACGGCCUUCGGGUUGUAAACCGCUUUCGCCUGUGACGAAGCGUGAGUGACGGUAAUGGGUAAAGAAGCACCGGCUAACUACGUG
This 468-nucleotide ribosomal RNA is filed under the name uncultured bacterium. RNAcentral describes it as "partial 16S ribosomal RNA". It matches the Rfam family "Bacterial small subunit ribosomal RNA", at positions 28 to 507 of the family's 1533-position model. The record is from RNAcentral.